CCGCAUAACUAGUAUUUACUUUUGGUGCCAUAGCAUUGGUUGAAAACGAGGUAUCUUGACAAGCAGUUACCGAGUUAAAUAUAAUAUGAUUAAUAUUAUAUACUCGCAUGCCUACUAAAUCAAUUAAAAGAAUUUUUUAUGUAAAUACCCUUGUUUAGUAUGUGUAUAUAUGUAUUAGCCUACAAACAGGAUCAAAGGCUAAAAUGUUAAGCUAACUGACCUUAAAUUUUUCAUAUUUGUAUGUCAUUAAUACGGAUCAAUUAAACAAUGACUUGAUUUCUUUCUUCAAGUACGGUUUUUCUUCACCUGUCGUGUAAAACUUAAAUAAAAUUCACUGACCUCAAUUAUCGGUCUCUUUCUAAAUAUUGCACUGUACAUACAGCGCCUGUUGACGGAUUAGGUUGUAACACAAAAGAGUCUGAUUAAAUAUUCUUUUUACUAACUAGCUUAGAUAUCGACGCAAACAUAUUAAAAACCCUUGGACCAUUCCCGGCGUAGAUUAGCCCCGCGAUCUUUUCUUUUUUCUCCCUGGAUAAGCCGCAUUCUGAGGGGUGAGAGAUCCUUGUCGAAGUUUUAACGCCUGAUGUUUAUCUCCGGGAACAAUCAGCACCAAUGUUCCCGCGCAUGAAUUAUCUAUGAGGAGACGUUCUAUCAAGUAAAAGACUCGGCAAUCCAGUUUAUUCGUUAUCAUCACUGCUAUGCCUAUCAUGUGGCCCUGCCCGGGACACCCCAAAUGCAGAAAGAUCUAUCUCUAUGGACAGGGGUUCCGUGCACACAUUGCGUCAUGUAAACAUGCGCAGUCAAAAAAAGUUCGAGGGCGACGAGAGGCCCUGGAGACUAUGUUUAGCAUCGUCUGCUUCACGGAGAGCCGAAACCUCGGAAAUAUAACACUGGCCCGAAGAAGGAUUCCCGAUUUUCGCCAGGAGCCGGCCACCCUGUGUCGUGUGUGACGUCACUGUGACAAAAGGUGUCAACGUCAAAUACAUGCUAGUCAUUUAGAUUGGAUAUACCAUAGAAGUAAACAUCAGAGUGAAUGGGAUCGUUAGUGAUAUAAUUCACGACAUUGGAGACUUA
Long non-coding RNA from Magallana angulata, 1074 nucleotides. RefSeq lists it as uncharacterized. The record is from RefSeq and is a predicted model, not a curated record. The transcript is spliced from 2 exons. NCBI's taxonomy places the organism in Eukaryota, Metazoa, Mollusca, Bivalvia, Ostreida, Ostreidae.